GAUGAACGCUGGCGGCGUGYUUAACACAUGCAAGUCGAACGGGGAACAUUUUAAAGAAGCUUCGGCAGAUUUAGCUUGUUCCUAGUGGCGGACGGGUGAGUAACGCGUGGGUAACCUGCCUCACACUGGGGGAUAACAGUCAGAAAUGACUGCUAAUACCGCAUAAGCGCACAGAGCUGCAUGGCUCAGUGUGAAAAACUCCGGUGGUGUGAGAUGGACCCGCGUUGGAUUAGCCAGUUGGCAGGGUAACGGCCUACCAAAGCGACGAUCCAUAGCCGGCCUGAGAGGGUGGACGGCCACAUUGGGACUGAGACAUGGCCCAGACUCCUACGGGAGGCAGCAGUGGGGAAUAUUGCACAAUGGGGGAAACCCUGAUGCAGCGACGCCGCGUGAAGGAAGAAGUAUCUCGGUAUGUAAACUUCUAUCAGCAGGGAAGAAAAUGACGGUACCKACUAKAGCCCCGAYAUUCC
RNAcentral lists this ribosomal RNA (470 nucleotides) under uncultured bacterium. RNAcentral describes it as "bacterial SSU rRNA". It matches the Rfam family "Bacterial small subunit ribosomal RNA", at positions 28 to 502 of the family's 1533-position model. The record is from RNAcentral.